CCUUUUCAUCUUCCUCAUCUCGCCAUCUACUACCAUCCUCCACGCUCCAAACAACCUAUCAAAUACUCUCUCCGCCGGAAUCUCAAACCUGACCACCAUCAAAUCACCAUCAUUGACUGCCGGUUCACCACCAUCCUCCGUCUGAAGUUCCAACACCAAUCGCAAUUCGUUCUUCCGCAAGCUUCUUCAAAUCCUCUCGUCUCAGUUCAUCAUCUUGACACAUCCGUUCCAUCGUCAAUUGUCUCAGCUCGACGCGUUUCACUUCCUCCAUCUCAGCAAGCCGCGUUUCCAAACGCGUUCAGCUUUGACGCCGCGACUCUAUACUGUUCGGUAAUCCGAGGUAAACUUUUUCCUCAAAUUACUGUUGUUGGGUGA
Vicia faba (fava bean) is the source of this 375-nucleotide non-coding RNA. The record is from the annotation of a GenBank genome assembly. NCBI's taxonomy places the organism in Eukaryota, Viridiplantae, Streptophyta, Magnoliopsida, Fabales, Fabaceae.